CACAGAGUAAGUAUUGCCAGCGAGUAGGCGUAUAUCCUACAGCAAAUCUGAGGGAGAUGUGUGUACAUGUUUCUUUGUACGUGUGUGUUUUGUUCAAAAUUCAUUUUCCGACACCAAACACAGGAUUAGCACUGCUUGACAACACAACAAUCGCUCAUAAGCCCCAAUGUAACCUGAGAGGGGUGGAGAAAGACGAGAAGAAAGCAGGGGCAGGGGCUAACAAGACAGAUAUCCGACAAUCUGCAACACACAUUUACACGUACCAAGUGUUGGUUCAUGUCCUGUCUGUAUUCCAGGUUCCCAAGCCCCCAAUGCAUCUAGAAUCUGUGUGUUCUGGCUGGGAACAAUAUUGAGAUUUCAUCCCUGGACCUUCUGAAACCAGUGCGCCAGUCCAGUUCUACCCACCACACAGACAGCAGUGGUAGCCGGUAGCCCUGUCCAAUACUUCUGGGUGUGCAGAUGAGCUGAAGAGAGUGAAAGACACCGGGGUGGGCAAGAGGGCACAACUGGACAGCGGAGGCAGAGAGAGAAGGAUGGACGAAGCAGACAGGCGUGCCAUCGAUUCCAGAGAGACGCCCCAUCGACCAGGCCCACUGACUGAUGGAGGCCCUGCUCCAAGGCUAGCUGGAGAGAAGGAGAGAGCGCUCACUGAGACCACUUUCGCCAGCCUGACCUGCCCUGCCUACAGACGGGACAUUGAGAUGGAUUGGAUGGAUGGAGGAGCAUUACGCGGAAAGCAAACAAGAAAGAAAAUGAUCGAGACAGAUUAGAGGGUUCUACCUAUGGAACCAUUUAUGUUUUGUUUAUUGAAUGCAUGCAAGUUACCAAGUGAUGGUUACCAUGGCUUUAACUGUGACAAGUUUUGUUUCCAUGCAUUGUCUCUGCAGCCAGAUGAAGAAAUUUUAAUUCAUGAAAACAUUAAAGGAAUAUUCUGGGUUAUUUAUAACUUGAAUGUCUAUGGACAGCAUCUGUGGCAUCUGGCUUAUACUGCCAGUGCACUAUAAGCAUUUUGUGUUCGUUUAAAUCAUUGUCUGCAGUAACUAACAGCAUGUCACAGAUUUAGUACACACACACUUCAAAUAUAAAUAAUAUUCUUAAAAUAUUCCAAAAUUUAGGACGUGAUUUGAUUUUAUCUAUCAAUAACUGAUUGAAUUGUGAAAAGCUUGUUACACACUGUAAUGGAGCUAGACUGAAUGAUAGUUUGAUAGAUAUCAAUGAUGUCAGCGAAAACAGAAAGUCAAAGUGUGCCGUGUACCAUGAAUCAUUCCCAAUAAAACCAAAAAUAUUAAAUUAUUUCUGGUCCAUUUUAUUGAUUUCA
Long non-coding RNA from Carassius gibelio (silver crucian carp), 1318 nucleotides. RefSeq lists it as uncharacterized. The transcript has 3 exons. The record is from RefSeq and is a predicted model, not a curated record. Lineage: Eukaryota; Metazoa; Chordata; Actinopteri; Cypriniformes; Cyprinidae.